UGGGAACGCGAAGAACCUUACCAGGGCUUGACAUCCUACUAAUGAAGCAGAGAUGCAUUAAGUGCCCUUCGGGGAAAGUAGAGACAGGUGGUGCAUGGUUGUCGUCAGCUCGUGUCGUGAGAUGUUGGGUUAAGUCCCGCAACGAGCGCAACCCCUAUUGUUAGUUGCUACGCAAGAGCACUCUAGCGAGACUGCCGUUGACAAAACGGAGGAAGGUGGGGACGACGUCAAAUCAUCAUGCCCCUUAUGUCCUGGGCCACACACGUAAUACAAUGGCGUUAAACAGAGGGAUGCUAAGCCGUGAGGUGGAGCGAACCCCUAAAAGGCGUCUCAGUUCGGAUUGCAGGCUGCAACUCGCCUGCAUGAAGUCGGAAUCGCUAGUAAUCGCGGAUCAGAAUGCCGCGGUGAAUACGUUCCCGGGUCUUGUACACACCG
Molecule: ribosomal RNA, 435 nt
Filed under: uncultured bacterium
Lineage: Bacteria
Description: bacterial SSU rRNA
Rfam family: Bacterial small subunit ribosomal RNA
Source: RNAcentral